RNAcentral lists this unclassified non-coding RNA (414 nucleotides) under fungal sp. Its description in RNAcentral is "partial internal transcribed spacer region". The stretch from base 1 to 45 matches the Rfam family "Eukaryotic small subunit ribosomal RNA", at positions 1787 to 1831 of the family's 1831-position model. Lineage: Eukaryota; Fungi. The record is from RNAcentral.
AGUCGUAACAAGGUUUCCGUAGGUGAACCUGCGGAAGGAUCAUUAUUGAAUCUAAAUCCAACCCCGGGGCCCCGGCGGCCGUGCUUCGCGGCCGGCUGUCGAGGUCCUUCUACCCCUUGUGAACCGGUAACCCCUCUCCUUGUUGUUGCAGUUGUUGUUGCGCUGUCCUCGCGGACGCGCGCGGCGGCGGCGGCAGGGAGGGACCAUUUAUACGUUAAACCUGUUAUCGUGUAUGUCUCUAUUGCAUAAGCGAUUAUGCUCUAGUACGUGCGCCAAUUGUACAUUUGAGUCGAGCACACAACCCCUUCACGGGGGGAGAGUUUCCACACACUUGUCCAAAAGCACUGCUGUUGCAUAGUUAAUUCAUUUAUUAAUUAUACAAUACAACUUUUAACAAUGGAUCUCUUGGCUCUC